CCUACGGGUGGCAGCAGUGGGGAAUAUUGCACAAUGGGGGAAACCCUGAUGCAGCAACGCCGCGUGAGUGAAGAAGUAUUUCGGUAUGUAAAGCUCUAUCAGCAGGGAAGAAAAUGACAGUACCUGACUAAGAAGCCCCGGCUAACUACGUGCCAGCAGCCGCGGUAAUACGUAGGGGGCAAGCGUUAUCCGGAUUUACUGGGUGUAAAGGGAGCGUAGACGGCUGCGCAAGUCAGAGGUGAAAGCCCGGGCUCAACCGCGGGACUGCUUUUGAAACUGUGUUGCUAGAGUGCAGGAGAGGUAAGUGGAAUUCCUAGUGUAGCGGUGAAAUGCGUAGAUAUUAGGAGGAACACCGGUGGCGAAGGCGGCUUACUGGACUGUAACUGACGUUGAGGCUCGAAAGCGUGGGGAGCAAACAGGAUUAGAUACCCUUGUAGUC
This 439-nucleotide ribosomal RNA is filed under the name uncultured bacterium. RNAcentral describes it as "partial 16S ribosomal RNA". It matches the Rfam family "Bacterial small subunit ribosomal RNA", at positions 338 to 795 of the family's 1533-position model. The record is from RNAcentral.